GAUGAACGCUAGCGGGAGGCCUAACACAUGCAAGCCGAGCGGUAUUGUUUCUUCGGAAAUGAGAGAGCGGCGUACGGGUGCGGAACACGUGUGCAACCUGCCUUUAUCUGGGGGAUAGCCUUUCGAAAGGAAGAUUAAUACUCCAUAAUAUAUUGAUUGGCAUCAAUUAAUAUUGAAAGCUCCGGCGGAUAGAGAUGGGCACGCGCAAGAUUAGCUAGUUGGUGAGGUAACGGCUCACCAAGGCGAUGAUCUUUAGGGGGCCUGAGAGGGUGAUCCCCCACACUGGUACUGAGACACGGACCAGACUCCUACGGGAGGCAGCAGUGAGGAAUAUUGGUCAAUGGGUGCAAGCCUGAGCCAGCCAUCCCGCGUGAAGGACGACUGCCCUAUGGGUUGUAAACUUCUUUUGUAUAGGGAUAAACCUACCCUCGUGAGGGUAGCUGAAGGUACUAUACGAAUAAGCACCGGCUAACUCCGUGCCAGCAGCCGCGGUAAUACGGAGGGUGCAAGCGUUAUCCGGAUUUAUUGGGUUUAAAGGGUCCGUAGGCGGACUUAUAAGUCAGUGGUGAAAGCCUGUCGCUUAACGAUAGAACUGCCAUUGAUACUGUAAGUCUUGAGUAUAUUUGAGGUAGCUGGAAUAAGUAGUGUAGCGGUGAAAUGCAUAGAUAUUACUUAGAACACCAAUUGCGAAGGCAGGUUACCAAGAUAUAACUGACGCUGAGGGACGAAAGCGUGGGGAGCGAACAGGAUUAGAUACCCUGGUAGUCCACGCCGUAAACGAUGCUAACUCGUUUUUGGGCUUUAGGGUUCAGAGACCAAGCGAAAGUGAUAAGUUAGCCACCUGGGGAGUACGCUCGCAAGAGUGAAGCUCAAAGGAAUUGACGGGGGCCCGCACAAGCGGUGGAUUAUGUGGUUUAAUUCGAUGAUACGCGAGGAACCUUACCAAGACUUAAAUGGGAAUUGACAGCUUUAGAAAUAGAGCUUUCUUCGGACAAUUUUCAAGGUGCUGCAUGGUUGUCGUCAGCUCGUGCCGUGAGGUGUUAGGUUAAGUCCUGCAACGAGCGCAACCCCUGUCACUAGUUGCCAUCAUUCAGUUGGGGACUCUAGUGAGACUGCCUACGCAAGUAGAGAGGAAGGUGGGGAUGACGUCAAAUCAUCACGGCCCUUACGUCUUGGGCCACACACGUAAUACAAUGGCCGGUACAGAGGGCAGCUACACAGCGAUGUGAUGCAAAUCUCGAAAGCCGGUCUCAGUUCGGAUUGGAGUCUGCAACUCGACUCUAUGAAGCUGGAAUCGCUAGUAAUCGCGCAUCAGCCAUGGCGCGGUGAAUACGUUCCCGGGCCU
This 1345-nucleotide ribosomal RNA is filed under the name uncultured bacterium. RNAcentral's name for it is "bacterial SSU rRNA". It matches the Rfam family "Bacterial small subunit ribosomal RNA", at positions 28 to 1381 of the family's 1533-position model. The record is from RNAcentral.